This 1339-nucleotide ribosomal RNA is filed under the name uncultured bacterium. RNAcentral describes it as "bacterial SSU rRNA". It matches the Rfam family "Bacterial small subunit ribosomal RNA", at positions 28 to 1387 of the family's 1533-position model. The record is from RNAcentral.
GACGACCUCUGGCGGCACGCUUAACACAUGCAAGUCGAACGAGAGAAGAGAAGCUUGCUUUUCUGAUCUAGUGGCGGACGGGUGAGUAACACGUGAGCAAUCUGCCUUUCAGAGGGGGAUACCGAUUGGAAACGAUCGUUAAUACCGCAUAACAUAAUUGAACCGCAUGAUUUGAUUAUCAAAGAUUUAUCGCUGAAAGAUGAGCUCGCGUCUGAUUAGCUAGUUGGUAAGGUAACGGCUUACCAAGGCGACGAUCAGUAGCCGGACUGAGAGGUUGAUCGGCCACAUUGGGACUGAGACACGGCCCAGACUCCUACGGGAGGCAGCAGUGGGGAAUAUUGCACAAUGGAGGAAACUCUGAUGCAGCGAUGCCGCGUGAGGGAAGAAGGUUUUAGGAUUGUAAACCUCUGUUUUCAGGGACGAAAAAAGACGGUACCUGAGGAGGAAGCUCCGGCUAACUACGUGCCAGCAGCCGCGGUAAUACGUAGGGAGCGAGCGUUGUCCGGAAUUACUGGGUGUAAAGGGAGCGUAGGCGGGAUCGCAAGUCAGAUGUGAAAACUAUGGGCUUAACCCAUAAACUGCAUUUGAAACUGUGGUUCUUGAGUGAAGUAGAGGUAAGCGGAAUUCCUAGUGUAGCGGUGAAAUGCGUAGAUAUUAGGAGGAACAUCAGUGGCGAAGGCGGCUUACUGGGCUUUAACUGACGCUGAGGCUCGAAAGCGUGGGGAGCAAACAGGAUUAGAUACCCUGGUAGUCCACGCCGUAAACGAUGAUUACUAGGUGUGGGGGGACUGACUCCUUCCGUGCCGCAGCAAACGCAAUAAGUAAUCCACCUGGGGAGUACGACCGCAAGGUUGAAACUCAAAGGAAUUGACGGGGGCCCGCACAAGCAGUGGAGUAUGUGGAUUAAUUCGAAGCAACGCGAAGAACCUUACCAGGUCUUGACAUCGUAUGCAUAGCUCAGAGAUGAGUGAAAUCUCUUCGGAGACAUAUAGACAGGUGGUGCAUGGUUGUCGUCAGCUCGUGUCGUGAGAUGUUGGGUUAAGUCCCGCAACGAGCGCAACCCUUACUGUUAGUUGCUACGCAAGAGCACUCUAGCAGGACUGCCGUUGACAAAACGGAGGAAGGUGGGGAUGACGUCAAAUCAUCAUGCCCCUUAUGACCUGGGCCUCACACGUACUACAAUGGCUGUCAACAGAGGGAUGCAAAGCCGCGAGGUGGAGCGAACCCCUAAAAGCAGUCUUAGUUCGGAUUGUAGGCUGCAACCCGCCUACAUGAAGUCGGAAUUGCUAGUAAUCGCAGAUCAGCAUGCUGCGGUGAAUACGUUCCCGGGCCUUGCACU